This 1374-nucleotide long non-coding RNA is filed under the name Numida meleagris (helmeted guineafowl). RNAcentral describes it as "lncRNA (ENSNMEG00000018467.1)". The record is from RNAcentral. Lineage: Eukaryota; Metazoa; Chordata; Aves; Galliformes; Numididae.
UUUUGUUUUAUUCUCUUGAACAUCCAUUGUUUAACUGAGUGUGCUCAGUAAGCGGGAGAAGCACCCCUACCCCUGGUGGGCCAGUGCUGCAGGAGGGCCAUGGCAGCACUGCUGGCUGCCAAGGAGGAGUAAGUAUACUUUGGCAAGACCUUGUGCAUCUUGCUUCCAUGUCCUACAGACUUUCAGUGUUGUCUUUAAAUGGAUGAGAAGAAAUGAGCAGUCCAAGUUAGUCAUACAAGCAGAUGGUGCUGCUCUCUACUCUCCUCUAGGAUGGUCUCCUGGUUGUACCCAAACCUUGGAGGGCCUGUGUGUAGCAGGGAGGUGUUGUGGACAUGGUUCCUCACAGUCUUCAAGUGAAAACAGACUCUUCUCAGUUGCUGGGCACUCAAAGGGACAUCCCCAUGGUGUCACCAUCUCUUUGAAGAGGAUGCGUUCUGUUCUGUGGUAGUGAAGACUGUGUUAAACAGGAAGAAAGAACCCCAAAUCCUCAGGACCAUGCAAAGCAAUUAACUGUGUUCUGAAGGUCUGGAUUCCAAGACCACUCUGGAGAUGCACGUUCUCUGAAGAUUUGAUUUCACUGGGAGUCUUGAAACGCUGAGAAGAGUUAAUCUCUCUGUUCCAUGGCUCAGCCGGAGCCAGUCCUUACUGAAGCUCUUUGCGAAGGAGAGAGAUUGCUGAUCAAACUCCUGCUGGGUGUGGGGGAGGCCAGCACCUCUGGACUCCAGAUGCGACUCUCUGAGAGACUCUCAUUGCCCCAUCUCCAGCAGCGAUUCCUCUGCAGGUCUCACCAAUCUGGGAAAUUGGGCAGGAAAAGGCCAAGAGUGUGGUUCUUCUGGAGCCCUUGCAUCAGGCUGCAGAAGUGGAGGCUGUGGGCUGGGCUGGCUGUGCCCUGGCUGCUGGAGCUCCCCGUGGGUACCAGUGCUCCAUCCACCACUGAGAAGCCAUGCUCCCGGCUGCAGAGGCACUGUGAAAUGUGGGAAGCGCUCGGGCUGCCUAAUGCACGCGUGAUGUUCUGAUGGGUACGUACAGAAGAACUGCUGCAGAAUAGGCUGUGUGUCUUGUCGGAGAUCUUAAGUUAAAUAGGGGCACUUUGCGUCAUUGUUUUGAUCUUCAAAAUACAAGGAAAUUGAAUGCAAAGAGCUGUAGGGAACUUUCAAAGGCAUAUGAGCAAUUACGAGCAUGAGUCCUUUUGGCUGAAUAAUCACUUCUGAAUAUUUUUCUCUUCAUGUAUCCUUAACUCCCCUCAAAGUACUAAUGGCAAAACAGGUCUGGGAAAUCUUGGCAUCCUCAGGCUGAUUUGUCCUAUUGGUGAAUCUCUGGAUGUUAAGAGACGGUUUAGAUUUCAUCCUGAUGGCUACUUUUACUGGGUCGGUA